RNAcentral lists this ribosomal RNA (468 nucleotides) under uncultured bacterium. RNAcentral describes it as "partial 16S ribosomal RNA". It matches the Rfam family "Bacterial small subunit ribosomal RNA", at positions 28 to 507 of the family's 1533-position model. The record is from RNAcentral.
GACGAACGCUGGCGGCGUGCUUAACACAUGUAAGUCGAACGGAAAGGCCCUGCUUUUGUGGGGUGCUCGAGUGGCGAACGGGUGAGUAACACGUGAGUAACCUGUCCUUGACUUUGGGAUAACUUCAGGAAACUGGGGCUAAUACCGGAUAGGAGCUCCUGCUGCAUGGUGGGGGUUGGAAAGUUUCGGCGGUUGGGGAUGGACUCGCGGCUUAUCAGCUUGUUGGUGGGGUAGUGGCUUACCAAGGCUUUGACGGGUAGCCGGCCUGAGAGGGUGACCGGCCACAUUGGGACUGAGAUACGGCCCAGACUCCUACGGGAGGCAGCAGUGGGGAAUAUUGCACAAUGGGCGGAAGCCUGAUGCAGCAACGCCGCGUGCGGGAUGACGGCCUUCGGGUUGUAAACCGCUUUCGCCUGUGACGAAGCGUGAGUGACGGUAAUGGGUAAAGAAGCACCGGCUAACUACGUG